GAGGAAUAUUGGUCAAUGGGCGAGAGCCUGAACCAGCCAAGCAGCGUGCAGGAUGACGGCCCUAUGGGUUGUAAACUGCUUUUGUAUGGGGAUAAAGUCAGUCACGUGUGAUUGUUUGCAGGUACCAUACGAAUAAGGACCGGCUAAUUCCGUGCCAGCAGCCGCGGUAAUACGGAAGGUCCGGGCGUUAUCCGGAUUUAUUGGGUUUAAAGGGAGCGUAGGCUGGAGAUUAAGUGUGUUGUGAAAUGUAGACGCUCAACGUCUGACUUGCAGCGCAUACUGGUUUCCUUGAGUACGCACAACGUUGGCGGAAUUCGUCGUGUAGCGGUGAAAUGCUUAGAUAUGACGAAGAACUCCGACUGCGAAGGCAGCUGACGGGAGCGCAACUGACGCUGAAGCUCGAAGGUGCGGGUAUCGAACAGGAUUAGAUACCCUGGUAGUCCGCACAGUAAACGAUGGAUGCCCGCUGUUGGUACCUGGUAUCAGCGGCUAAGCGAAAGCAUUAAGCAUCCCACCUGGGGAGUACGCCGGCAACGGUG
RNAcentral lists this ribosomal RNA (539 nucleotides) under uncultured bacterium. Its description in RNAcentral is "bacterial SSU rRNA". It matches the Rfam family "Bacterial small subunit ribosomal RNA", at positions 356 to 896 of the family's 1533-position model. The record is from RNAcentral.